Molecule: long non-coding RNA, 236 nt
Organism: Daphnia pulicaria
Lineage: Eukaryota; Metazoa; Arthropoda; Branchiopoda; Diplostraca; Daphniidae
Exons: 2
Source: RefSeq, a predicted model, not a curated record
UGUCAAGUUGUUGUAAAUCUGCAAGAUAUUGAUGCCUUCACCAGAUCCAGUUCUUUGCUGCAAUGUAUUUUGUGGACAACAGCAAGAAAAUGCUGCUACUCAAGAUUUUGUGGUGACCACCACUUAGUUCUAAUUUAGGACAAUGUAAGAUUGAUAGAUUUGAGGUUAAUCCUUCUCCACUGUUACAGUUGUUUGUAAACCAACAAGAGAUUGCUGGAAUUGAAGACUGAUAAUUU